AGAGUUUGAUCCUGGCUCAGGACGAACGCUGGCGGCGUGCCUAAUACAUGCAAGUCGAACGCACUCUCGUUUAGAUUGAAGGAGCUUGCUCCUGAUUGAUAAACAUUUGAGUGAGUGGCGGACGGGUGAGUAACACGUGGGUAACCUGCCCUAAAGUGGGGGAUAACAUUUGGAAACAGAUGCUAAUACCGCAUAAAACCUAACACCGCAUGGUGUAGGGUUGAAAGAUGGUUUCGGCUAUCACUUUAGGAUGGACCCGCGGUGCAUUAGUUAGUUGGUGAGGUAAAGGCUCACCAAGACCGUGAUGCAUAGCCGACCUGAGAGGGUAAUCGGCCACACUGGGACUGAGACACGGCCCAGACUCCUACGGGAGGCAGCAGUAGGGAAUCUUCCACAAUGGACGAAAGUCUGAUGGAGCAACGCCGCGUGAGUGAAGAAGGUUUUCGGAUCGUAAAACUCUGUUGUUGGAGAAGAAUGUAUCUGAUAGUAACUGAUCAGGUAGUGACGGUAUCCAACCAGAAAGCCACGGCUAACUACGUGCCAGCAGCCGCGGUAAUACGUAGGUGGCAAGCGUUGUCCGGAUUUAUUGGGCGUAAAGCGAGCGCAGGCGGUUUCUUAAGUCUGAUGUGAAAGCCUUCGGCUCAACCGAAGAAGUGCAUCGGAAACUGGGAAACUUGAGUGCAGAAGAGGACAGUGGAACUCCAUGUGUAGCGGUGAAAUGCGUAGAUAUAUGGAAGAACACCAGUGGCGAAGGCGGCUGUCUGGUCUGUAACUGACGCUGAGGCUCGAAAGCAUGGGUAGCAAACAGGAUUAGAUACCCUGGUAGUCCAUGCCGUAAACGAUGAGUGCUAGGGUGUUGGAGGGUUUCCGCCCUUCGUGCCGCAGCCUACGCAUUAAGCA
Molecule: ribosomal RNA, 900 nt
Filed under: uncultured bacterium
Lineage: Bacteria
Description: bacterial SSU rRNA
Rfam family: Bacterial small subunit ribosomal RNA
Source: RNAcentral